GGGAGAUGGUCAUGCAAUUUGAUCUAAAACCAAGAAGGAAAACCAACAAUAGAGCUAUAGUGACAAUGAUGUCAGCACAAAAGUUUCAACUUGCAUCUCUGCUCUUAGUUAUUUCUCUUCUUUUUUCUCAAUCAGCUGCAAACAGAUGUAUCUAUAAAGGUCCUUCUAAAACUGAUGACGACUGCAAGAAGAUAUGCACUGGCCCUGGGGAAGAUCCAUCUUUUUUGUUAUGCAUUACUGGCCCCCCAAUGAAUGGCAAAUGUUGUUGUAAACAUCCAAAUCAGAAAGAUAGUCUUGUUCUACCAUGAUACAUCCAUACGUUUGUAUCAUCACCUAUCAUAAAUUUAAAAUCAAUAAAAACUAAUGUUUGGAU
Molecule: long non-coding RNA, 373 nt
Organism: Eutrema salsugineum
Lineage: Eukaryota; Viridiplantae; Streptophyta; Magnoliopsida; Brassicales; Brassicaceae
Exons: 2
Source: RefSeq, a predicted model, not a curated record